ACGACGAAACAGGGGUGCUUCGAGCGCGGUCCACACAUGGCGCGGCGAGGCUGAGAAAGACCCUUCGCACCCGAUCCGGGUAAUACCGGCGAGGGAAG
Molecule: non-coding RNA, 98 nt
Filed under: Burkholderia sp.
Lineage: Bacteria; Pseudomonadati; Pseudomonadota; Betaproteobacteria; Burkholderiales; Burkholderiaceae
Description: TPP sequence
Rfam family: TPP riboswitch aptamer (THI element)
About the family: Vitamin B(1) in its active form thiamin pyrophosphate (TPP) is an essential coenzyme that is synthesised by coupling of pyrimidine and thiazole moieties in bacteria.
Source: RNAcentral